RNAcentral lists this ribosomal RNA (494 nucleotides) under uncultured Actinomycetes bacterium. Its description in RNAcentral is "bacterial SSU rRNA". It matches the Rfam family "Bacterial small subunit ribosomal RNA", at positions 8 to 522 of the family's 1533-position model. Lineage: Bacteria; Bacillati; Actinomycetota; Actinomycetes. The record is from RNAcentral.
AGAGUUUGAUCAUGGCUCAGGACGAACGCUGCGGCGCGCCUCAUACAUGCAAGUCGAGCGAGAACCAGGGCUUGCCCUGGGGAGAGCGGCGAACGGGUGCGUAUCACGUGAGCAACCUGCCUCAGAGACCGGGAUAACCCGAGGAAACUCGAGCUAAUACCGGAUGCCCUCGGUGGAUCGCAUGGUCCGGCGAGGAAAUGGAUUCCGCUCUGAGAUGGGCUCGCGGCCUAUCAGCUUGUUGGUGGGGUAAUGGCCUACCAAGGCGACGACGGGUAGCUGGUCUGAGAGGACGAUCAGCCACACUGGGACUGAGACACGGCCCAGACUCCUACGGGAGGCAGCAGUAGGGAAUCUUGCGCAAUGGGCGAAAGCCUGACGCAGCGACGCCGCGUGCGGGAUGAAGGCCUUCGGGUCGUAAACCGCUUUCAGCAGGGACGAAAUUGACGGUACCUGCAUAAGAAGGCCCGGCCAACUACGUGCCAGCAGCCGCGGUG